This is a small nuclear RNA of Sarcophilus harrisii (Tasmanian devil), 130 nucleotides long. Its record names the gene U2. It matches the Rfam family "U2 spliceosomal RNA". Rfam says of the family: U2 is a small nuclear RNA (snRNA) component of the spliceosome (involved in pre-mRNA splicing). NCBI's taxonomy places the organism in Eukaryota, Metazoa, Chordata, Mammalia, Dasyuromorphia, Dasyuridae. The record is from Ensembl.
GUGACUUCUCAGUCUUUUGGCUAAGAUCAAGUGUAGUAUCUGUUUUAAUUUUUUCUCCCCUUGAAAUGAGGUGAAGGAUUCUUUCUUUUUUCAUUUUUUAAAAAAUCAUGCACUUAAGAGAAUAAGCAUU